GGCUCUCAGAGCCUGGUCCUGCUCUGCAGCCUGUGCAGGCUCCUCUGUGAUGAGAAACACCCAGUCUCCAGUCGAUGAAAUGCUCAGGACGAGGCAGUGCCCUGGACCACACAAACAUCAGCCCACACGGAGUGUCUAGAGUGGAACACCCAGGCUGGGCCGGCCGCCUGGUUCUGAGCCUUGCAUCCUGACCCCACACAGCUAUGGGUCACUGCACAGCUGAAGCCCCCCAGUUUCUCUCUUCCAAGACCCAGACUCUGGACUGGGCCUCUUCUGAGUUCCUUUUCCCAACGAUAGGUCCACGGCUACUCCGUUCAGAAGCAGGACCGCAGAGUGAGGAAAACCAGGCCCACAGUCCCCUCUACACAGGCACCACUCACCUGCCCCCGGUCUGACCCUGCGUCACACAGUGUCAGGCUCUUGUCUCAUAUGUGUACCUGAUUUCCACUCCAUUCAUUCAAAACAUGUUGUCUGAGCAUUUACCAUGUGCCAGACCCUAUGCUGGGCUCUGGGGUAGGUGACAGUUCAUUGAGGCUCCUUGGUCUCUAGGAGACCAAUCUAUCACCACCCUGUCCUUGACAUGCCAACAGGCGAGCACCCCACUUCCACCCCCUCCGCCAGGUCUCUUUGCAGAGGCCCAGGCAGGCCCCACCUAGCUCCCCCCUUGGACCCUGAUGUCCCCCUACAUGCCCAGAGCUCCUCAUUCUCUUCCUGACUCUCAUUUCCCUCCACAGCUCUCUCCUCUCCCUAGGUCUGAUGGUCUCCUACCCACACCUUCACAGAUGAUGAGCAAAUGGGUCUUUCCUUAGGUUCCUGCAAAUAUGGACUUAUCACACAUCCACACUGAUGCCAGAAAUGUCAUGGCUACAUGUUGACUUACAGUAAUGAAUGGAGACCCCAGCACCCAGCAUGGCCACAGCACGAUGCUAAGGAGAAGCAAAGAGCAAGCCAGCUCUGGAUGUCUCCUGGAGUCAAGCGAAGCUUGGGUCCUGGCUGCUCAAAGUGCACCCCCAGACCAGCGACAUCAGUGUCACCUGGGAGCUUGCAAGACUCCUAUGCCUGCCCCGACUCACUGGAUCAGGAUCUGCAGCUCUACAGAUCUACAGGGACACAGAAAGGACAAGCGUGGUGGAUGCUGCUCCUCGCCCUGCAACGAUGCUGCCGCUGGGGAAGCGGGUGUUUCUUCCUGAGCGAGCCAUCUUGUCCCGGGCAGAGGUGUGAAUAACCCCUCUGACUCUCUGCACCGAGAUUUAGGGGAAGGAUCAGUGGACAGCUCAGGAAGUGCCGCUCUCAAACCUGCUGGGCAGCCGGCUCCGUGUGGCUUAAGAAGAGGUGCACAUGGAGGUUGCAGUUGUGUGAAAGUAAGAGGACUCUCAUAGUGACCUAAAGUCACCUGCCAGGUCACCUGCCAAGUCCAGAUCCUCUAAGGAACAAGGGCUAUGGCUUGGAUAUUUGUCCCCUCCAAGCUUCAUGUUGAAAUUUGGUCUCCCAGCCCGGGCACGGUGGUUCACGCCUGCGAUCCCAGAAUUUUGGAGAGGCCAAAGUGAGUGGAUCGCUUGAGCCCAGGAGUUCAAGACCAGCCUGGGCAGCAUAGCAAGACACCCCCGACUACAAAAAAACUACAGAAAUUAGCCAGGCAUGGUGGCAUGCACCUGUAGUUCCAGCUACUAGGGAGGCUGAGCCUCAGGGAGGAUCACCUGAGCCUGGGAGGUUGAGGCUGCAGUGGAAAGUUAAAUUCGAUUUAAAAAAUGUGGUCUCAGUGUUGGAGGUGGAGCCUAAUGGGAAGCAUUUGGGUAAGGAGGGGAGAUCCCUCAUGAAUGGACUAAUGCCCUCCCUGAGGGUGAGUGGGUUCUCACUCAUUAGUUCCCAAGAAAGCUGAUUGCUGGAAAGGACCUGGCACUUCCCCUCCUUCCCGCUGGGUCCUCCUUGCCCUGUGGUCUCUGCACACCCAGCUCCACUUUGCCCUCCCCCAUGAGUGGAAGCAGCCUGAGGCCUUCCCCAGAUGCAGAUGCCCAACCAUGGACUUUUCCAGCCAACUGGAAUCAUGAACCAAAUAAACCAUACAUGUAUACAUACACAUACAUACAUAUAUAUAGACGUAUGUAUAGAUUAUCCAGCCCCAGCAUUCCUUUAUAAGGGCACAAUUAAGAAACUAACCCAAGCAGGGACGGGAAAUAAAACUAUGAUUAAGCUCAACAUGGAAAGCGAGCGCCUCUAAUCUCCCUGAUAUUGGGUAGCUAGCUCACGUAGCAGCUGCCCCACUCCCUUGGGGAAAGGGAUUUCUGAUCGCCAAGGACACCAGUGGUUAUGAUGUCACUGAUCGUAAAGCUGUUAGAGGUUAACUGUCCCCAUCUACUUCCAAAUGAGCUUGUGCAACCCUGGCC
This 2384-nucleotide long non-coding RNA is filed under the name Callithrix jacchus (white-tufted-ear marmoset). RNAcentral's name for it is "lncRNA (ENSCJAG00000076471.1)". Lineage: Eukaryota; Metazoa; Chordata; Mammalia; Primates; Cebidae. The record is from RNAcentral.